GGGGUCGUACUGGUUUCGAUUGGUCGUCCGAUCAGAUAGAAGCAUGUCGAGGAUGGUGGACACCUCGUAAAUCCGACACCAAACAAUAAAUGCUGACAACAACAGCGAAUAUGCACUUGCUGCCUGACCGGCAGUAAUUGCGGCCCGCUUCGGCGGGUUUAAGGUCAGAGGAUAUCGCCGCUGUACUCCUCUGGCUUCAAAGGAAGCGGCUGCACACUGUUAAGUAAAUUGUUGAGAGACAGUGCCAAGAUAAUCUCAUCAAUUCUCCGCGUACAGUUCGCCUGUCAGGAUGACACGGAAGGUAUGAAAGCAGGAUAAGCAUGUAGAAGGAUCUGUGAAAACGUUCAAGACGCGGGUUCGAAUCCCGCCGACUCCA
RNAcentral lists this transfer-messenger RNA (376 nucleotides) under uncultured Eubacterium sp. It matches the Rfam family "transfer-messenger RNA". From Rfam's summary of the family: Bacterial tmRNA, also known as 10Sa RNA or SsrA, is named for its dual tRNA and mRNA-like properties. Its role is to liberate the mRNA from a stalled ribosome. The record is from RNAcentral. Lineage: Bacteria; Bacillati; Bacillota; Clostridia; Eubacteriales; Eubacteriaceae.